This 468-nucleotide ribosomal RNA is filed under the name uncultured bacterium. RNAcentral's name for it is "partial 16S ribosomal RNA". It matches the Rfam family "Bacterial small subunit ribosomal RNA", at positions 28 to 507 of the family's 1533-position model. The record is from RNAcentral.
GACGAACGCUGGCGGCGUGCUUAACACAUGCAAGUCGAACGGAAAGGCCCUGCUUUUGUGGGGUGCUCGAGUGGCGAACGGGUGAGUAACACGUGAGUAACCUGCCCUUGACUUUGGGAUAACUUCAGGAAACUGGGGCAAAUACCGGAUAGAAGCUCCUGCUGCAGGGUGGGGGUUGGAAGGUUUCGGCGGUUGGGGAUGGACUCGCGGCUUAUCAGCUUGUUGGUGGGGUAGGGGCUUACCAAGGCUUUGACGGGUAGCCGGCCUGAGAGGGUGACCGGCCACAUUGGGACUGAGAUACGGCCCAGACUCCUACGGGAGGCAGCAGUGGGGAAUAUUGCACAAUGGGCAGAAGCCUGAUGCAGCAACGCCGCGUGCGGGAUGACGGCCUUCGGGUUGUAAACCGCUUUCGCCUGUGACGAAGCGUGAGUGACGGUAAUGGGUAAAGAAGCACCGGCUAACUACGUG